This 1521-nucleotide long non-coding RNA is filed under the name Homo sapiens (human). RNAcentral's name for it is "long intergenic non-protein coding RNA 2612". The record is from RNAcentral. Lineage: Eukaryota; Metazoa; Chordata; Mammalia; Primates; Hominidae.
AUACAGUGACCACAGAGCAUUAGCACCCAAGCAGGACCUGCUGAACCUGGGGCCCUAUAGGAGAGCACUGAUGGCCCACCCCUGAUUGUGGCCCUGGUCUUCAUGUCUGCAUCAGCCUCAGCCAUCUCAAGACCACAACAGGAACAUAGCCAAGUCAGAGAAGGAAGACCAAAAGCACCAGGGCCCUUCAUAUUAUUAAGCUGCUAAAUUAACUAAUCUUGGAAACUUCUAGACUCUACAAUUCUUGUUGUAUGAGAACUUCUAGCAACUAACCCUGGCAUGACCACCAGAAUCUGCAGGGCUGAGAGAAGAAAGAAAGGCAAAAGUGGAUGAAUGCAGCUGAAGAUGCUGUGGAACUCCUAUCACAUUCCAAGUGCUGUGUUGAUAUCUGGAGAUAUAGACAAGAUCGAAGCAGAUGCAGUCUUUCACAUGAAUAUUUGAAUCAGGCAGUAUGUUCCCCAAAUUAGCAAAGUAUCUCCCAGAUUUUUUCUUUGAUGAUAUAUUUGAAAUCCUAAUGCUGAAAGUUAAAUUAUCAGGGUUUUAAAACUAGAAGCAGUCAUUAUCAGAAUUUUAUAUACUAUUUAUUUUUAAGAACGUAAUUUGACUGUUUAAGUCUUAUUAUAAUUUUAAGUGAAGUACUUUGGGCAGUCAUAAAUAAAGUAAUGGGCAGGUAUUUAGUAUUCAUAUUGUGUGGAUUCAUAUCCAUACUCUGCCACUCAGUAUCUCUGGGAUUUUGAUGAAUGAUCAAACUCUCUGAGCCUCAGUUUUCUAAUCUGUAAAGCAGAAAUGAUAAUGGUAUGUAGUGAUAAUUAAACAAUUUACUAGUUGUAAGUGCUUAGAACAGUUCCUGGAAUAGAGAAAAUUUGCAGAGAGAUUUUUAUUGUUUACAAUUUAGUUAAUGGAAUGGCUUCAAUAAUACAGUAAAAUUAAGAUAUUCAAACAAGCAGGAUGCAGGUGAUGGGUAUUGGCCUCAGCUUUAGAGACCAGAGGUUAAAUCUCAGUGCUGCCUGCCACAAAACGAUCCAUGUAAGUCAAUAAACAAUGCUUUUUAAAAUAUUAUUAUAAAGAUAUAGUGUGUGGAUCCCUCUCAAUUGUCCAUUCUUCCCUGUCACAAAAAUUUGCCUGCUUUUCGUUACCAUGUGAGAGGCAAAUGAAUUGAACUAAAUGGUUUCUAAUGCCCUGUCCACCUCUAAAAUUCUAUAGAACUGUGAUUUGAUUCCAAUGGGCCAUAUCAGGACUCGGCAUUAUUUUCAUCAGUGAACCAUUUCAUUAGAAAUUUAUUUUUCCAAAUGAUAUUAGUAAAUAUUGAAGGAGGCUUCUCCCACAGAGCUUCUUGUACAAAUUAAAACAGGGCAGUAGAAGGUUUUCAGGUUGGUGAAGUCAACUCUGGCUUUUAGUCAACCAUUCCAAAAAAACAUUUUCUUUAGAAUCCAAGGGCUUGCAAUUGUUCUGAAUAAAGCAUAAAGAAGCUGUUCUGAUUUAUUAAAUAAAAAGAGUACCAAAUAUAUGAUUUUUAAAAUG